Long non-coding RNA from Oreochromis aureus, 1596 nucleotides. The record is from Ensembl. Lineage: Eukaryota; Metazoa; Chordata; Actinopteri; Cichliformes; Cichlidae.
GAACACAGCACAUACUCAUAUUUUCUUCACACAUUCACCUGUGCUCUACAAAGCAGGGCAAAUCGGAAUGCUGCAUGUCGCCCUGAAAGUCCCAGGAGCUCUGCUGAAAGGAAAAGAUUAAUAAACCUUGCAAUAGAAAACUGCAAAGAUGAAACUGUCCUGCAGUGGCUGAGAGAAAAUUCAGAGUCUGGCACCUUCAGAAAACUCUCAGACAUGUUUGAUUUCCUGAAAAGUAAAAUUGAUGAAGAAGAAAAGAAGAACCACAGUGACACUGUUGACAUAAUCUUUGUGGCACAUGGAUCAAUCAGAGACUCCAUGAUCCCAGCCAGCUGUUUGCUGCCUCUGCCCACCAUCACUGACCUGGUCCUGUACUCUCCCUGGAACUGUGGCACCACUGGUGCUGUAACCUAUGGCAUUGCAACAGGAAAAAUGAGGCCACAGCACAGAGUUUUUUACCGUUCACUACCGUUUUUUCUCCACAGUAGAAUUCUUUUUGACAAAUAUCAACCCCUGAACCUGCCAGACUACUGGAACUCACUGAAGAAAGCUAAAGGACGGAACAUCCCAAACAUCAUUGUUAGCCCUCUGCAGCCAAAUGACGGUGUGUGGGAAACAUUUAAGUCUCUCUCAACAAAACAUGGUCCACCAGGAAGAAACCGCAUCGUCAUCCCGUUCAUCCUCCCAGAAGAGAGUGAAAGUGUCCCGUUCUCUGUCGUCGCCUUGGCUCUGUCCCUGGUGCUCCUCUCUUCCAGGUUUAAAGCCACCGUUCACCUUGAUACCUGUCUGAGUGAUAAGUCUACAGGACAGAAAUCUGACAGGAAGUAUCUGCAGGAGCAGUACUACUGCACUGAAGACAACACUGGGAUGACAUGUUCACCAGAUGCAUUCAGUGUGAACUAGUGGGAUCGCUUUAAGAGUCUGUUUAAUUAGAUGCAAACCAGCCUCAUCUUAUCAUCUUUCCUGUGUCCGUUUUUUAAAAACUGUUCCGGAAACAUGAAACCAUAAAAGCAUUUAUUUUUUAAUCUGUGGAGCUCAGAUUUAAAAAGAAACCCACACAGGACUCAUGUUAGAACACACAUUCGACUUUAAUUACAAUUACAAUCACAGAUGCUUCCAGUAGUUCAAACUAUCCUUUAGUUUAUCAGCCAGUUUCACUUCUUUAAUGAAGCCUACAUCAGAAUCAGAAUCAGAAUACUUUAUUGAUCCCUAGGGGAAUUUAUCUAAUUAUUACAUGAAUCAGUCUCCUGAUUUUUUUGCACUUUAAGCUGUUUGUGUAGCUGCUGCUUUUCCUCAGAGCUCAGGCUGGACUUCAGUGUACCGACUGUCUUAUACUUUAUCCUGACAGAAAAGAGUACACAGCACUUUAUUGUCUAGUUUAGCUCCACAGUGACAUGGAGGGAAAUCUGCAAACAGCUGAGCAGACAAAAACACUCACUGUGUGUAAACUAUGUCUUUCUCUGUAACUUAAACACCUUAAUGUAUCUAUUUUUUUUUAAUGAUGAAAUCAAACUACAUUUUGGAAUUUUGUAUCGUUUGUACUUUCUUGACUUUUUAUAUCAAUGUAAUUUAAAACAUAAUGACUUUAAUUCAUUGCUG